AACGAUGUCGAUUUGGAGGUUGUGCCCUUGAGGCGUGGCUUCCGGAGCUAACGCGUUAAAUCGACCGCCUGGGGAGUACGGCCGCAAGGUUAAAACUCAAAUGAAUUGACGGGGGCCCGCACAAGCGGUGGAGCAUGUGGUUUAAUUCGAUGCAACGCGAAGAACCUUACCUGGUCUUGACAUCCACAGAACUUUCCAGAGAUGGAUUGGUGCCUUCGGGAACUGUGAGACAGGUGCUGCAUGGCUGUCGUCAGCUCGUGUUGUGAAAUGUUGGGUUAAGUCCCGCAACGAGCGCAACCCUUAUCCUUUGUUGCCAGCGGUUAGGCCGGGAACUCAAAGGAGACUGCCAGUGAUAAACUGGAGGAAGGUGGGGAUGACGUCAAGUCAUCAUGGCCCUUACGACCAGGGCUACACACGUGCUACAAUGGCGCAUACAAAGAGAAGCGACCUCGCGAGAGCAAGCGGACCUCAUAAAGUGCGUCGUAGUCCGGAUUGGAGUCUGCAACUCGACUCCAUGAAGUCGGAAUCGCUAGUAAUCGUAGAUCAGAAUGCUACGGUGAAUACGUUCCCGGGCCUUGUACACACCGCCCGUCACACCAUGGGAGUGGGUUGCAAAAGAAGUAGGUAGCUUAACCUUCGGGAGGGCGCUUACCACUUUGUGAUUCAUGACUGGGGUGAAGUCUAAGGGGG
RNAcentral lists this ribosomal RNA (690 nucleotides) under Enterobacter cloacae. RNAcentral describes it as "bacterial SSU rRNA". It matches the Rfam family "Bacterial small subunit ribosomal RNA", at positions 805 to 1496 of the family's 1533-position model. Lineage: Bacteria; Pseudomonadati; Pseudomonadota; Gammaproteobacteria; Enterobacterales; Enterobacteriaceae. The record is from RNAcentral.